UUCCCCUUUCCCAGAGGCUGUGACAAUUCUGUCUUUGUUCCCAGUGAAGUAAAUGGUAGAGAAACCGAGGCUGUUCACGUUACACUCGGUCAAGAAGUCCUCUGGAACCCGGGGAAGGCUUGAGGCUCAGCAGCAAUGGAGGCAGCACUUGGCCAACGGAUGAGUCAUUGUCCAACGAGUACACAUUCAGCGCCUGCGACUUCCAGCAACGUGGGAGGACGUCGCAUGGAAGGAAAAGCAAGUCCUCUUUCUUGUAAACCAGUUAAAUCCAAGAAGAAGCCCUGUGUGGCUGUGGCGGCUUGGGCCACCUCCUGCCCUCCCGUCCCCCACUCCGGGGUGAGCCUAGGUGCUCUGAGUAUGGGAGCAACGAGCACCCAGCCAGGAGGGGUGAUGGGCAGAUGCACAGGUGUCCUGCCCACUGAUCCAAGUGGUCUGUCCCUCCUCAGCUACACAGGCUGCGGCCACGGGACUCCCAUAAACGCUGCCCCUGCCCACGUCACACACCAUUUGCCAGGAAGUGUUAUAGAAACAGCAGUGAACCAGGAGGCAGGAGCCCAGUAGCAGGGGGCUGCCCCUGACUAGCCCCUCCUCUUCCGGGCUCCAUCUCCCCACCUGCACAAUGGAC
Molecule: long non-coding RNA, 625 nt
Filed under: Equus caballus (horse)
Lineage: Eukaryota; Metazoa; Chordata; Mammalia; Perissodactyla; Equidae
Description: lncRNA (ENSECAG00000053018.1)
Source: RNAcentral